RNAcentral lists this ribosomal RNA (1555 nucleotides) under Vibrio parahaemolyticus. Its description in RNAcentral is "bacterial SSU rRNA". It matches the Rfam family "Bacterial small subunit ribosomal RNA". The record is from RNAcentral. Lineage: Bacteria; Pseudomonadati; Pseudomonadota; Gammaproteobacteria; Vibrionales; Vibrionaceae.
AAAUUGAAGAGUUUGAUCAUGGCUCAGAUUGAACGCUGGCGGCAGGCCUAACACAUGCAAGUCGAGCGGAAACGAGUUAUCAGAACCUUCGGGGGACGAUAACGGCGUCGAGCGGCGGACGGGUGAGUAAUGCCUAGGAAAUUGCCCUGAUGUGGGGGAUAACCAUUGGAAACGAUGGCUAAUACCGCAUGAUGCCUACGGGCCAAAGAGGGGGACCUUCGGGCCUCUCGCGUCAGGAUAUGCCUAGGUGGGAUUAGCUAGUUGGUGAGGUAAGGGCUCACCAAGGCGACGAUCCCUAGCUGGUCUGAGAGGAUGAUCAGCCACACUGGAACUGAGACACGGUCCAGACUCCUACGGGAGGCAGCAGUGGGGAAUAUUGCACAAUGGGCGCAAGCCUGAUGCAGCCAUGCCGCGUGUGUGAAGAAGGCCUUCGGGUUGUAAAGCACUUUCAGUCGUGAGGAAGGUGGUAGUGUUAAUAGCACUAUCAUUUGACGUUAGCGACAGAAGAAGCACCGGCUAACUCCGUGCCAGCAGCCGCGGUAAUACGGAGGGUGCGAGCGUUAAUCGGAAUUACUGGGCGUAAAGCGCAUGCAGGUGGUUUGUUAAGUCAGAUGUGAAAGCCCGGGGCUCAACCUCGGAAUUGCAUUUGAAACUGGCAGACUAGAGUACUGUAGAGGGGGGUAGAAUUUCAGGUGUAGCGGUGAAAUGCGUAGAGAUCUGAAGGAAUACCGGUGGCGAAGGCGGCCCCCCUGGACAGAUACUGACACUCAGAUGCGAAAGCGUGGGGAGCAAACAGGAUUAGAUACCCUGGUAGUCCACGCCGUAAACGAUGUCUACUUGGAGGUUGUGGCCUUGAGCCGUGGCUUUCGGAGCUAACGCGUUAAGUAGACCGCCUGGGGAGUACGGUCGCAAGAUUAAAACUCAAAUGAAUUGACGGGGGCCCGCACAAGCGGUGGAGCAUGUGGUUUAAUUCGAUGCAACGCGAAGAACCUUACCUACUCUUGACAUCCAGAGAACUUUCCAGAGAUGGAUUGGUGCCUUCGGGAACUCUGAGACAGGUGCUGCAUGGCUGUCGUCAGCUCGUGUUGUGAAAUGUUGGGUUAAGUCCCGCAACGAGCGCAACCCUUAUCCUUGUUUGCCAGCGAGUAAUGUCGGGAACUCCAGGGAGACUGCCGGUGAUAAACCGGAGGAAGGUGGGGGACGACGUCAAGUCAUCAUGGCCCUUACGAGUAGGGCUACACACGUGCUACAAUGGCGCAUACAGAGGGCGGCCAACUUGCGAAAGUGAGCGAAUCCCAAAAAGUGCGUCGUAGUCCGGAUUGGAGUCUGCAACUCGACUCCAUGAAGUCGGAAUCGCUAGUAAUCGUGGAUCAGAAUGCCACGGUGAAUACGUUCCCGGGCCUUGUACACACCGCCCGUCACACCAUGGGAGUGGGCUGCAAAAGAAGUAGGUAGUUUAACCUUCGGGGGGACGCUUACCACUUUGUGGUUCAUGACUGGGGUGAAGUCGUAACAAGGUAGCGCUAGGGGAACCUGGCGCUGGAUCACCUCCUUA